GCUGACGAGAGGUGUCGCUUUACAUCCGGUGGAAACGAAUGUAAUAUAUCGUAAGGUCAUGGAAAUACAGAAAAAAGACUGCUACCUGUUCUAGGCAAGGGUGGAAUCGUUACAAGAAAGGCCUUUGAUUAUAUGAUGUGUUGCAUUUCUGAUGUCAGUUUUUUUUGUGUAAUAAAUAAAAAUCUUUUAUAUAUCUGC
This is a long non-coding RNA of Mizuhopecten yessoensis (Yesso scallop), 198 nucleotides long. RefSeq lists it as uncharacterized. Lineage: Eukaryota; Metazoa; Mollusca; Bivalvia; Pectinida; Pectinidae. The transcript has 2 exons. The record is from RefSeq and is a predicted model, not a curated record.